RNAcentral lists this small RNA (26 nucleotides) under Arabidopsis thaliana (thale cress). RNAcentral describes it as "ATSL254510". The record is from RNAcentral. Lineage: Eukaryota; Viridiplantae; Streptophyta; Magnoliopsida; Brassicales; Brassicaceae.
AGAUUUAUCGGUGGAUCUUAGAUUUU